UACGAACCAUGCAAACGUUAUUCGGAAUCACUGGGCUUAAAGGGUGCGUAGGCGGUGCGGAAAGUUGGGUGUGAAAUCCCUCAGCUUAACUGAGGAACUGCGCUCAAAACUUCCGUGCUUGAGGGAGAUAGAGGUGAGCGGAACUUAGGGUGGAGCGGUGAAAUGCGUUGAUAUCCUAAGGAACACCGGUGGCGAAAGCGGCUCACUGGAUCUCUUCUGACGCUGAGGCACGAAAGCU
RNAcentral lists this ribosomal RNA (238 nucleotides) under uncultured prokaryote. RNAcentral describes it as "partial 16S ribosomal RNA". It matches the Rfam family "Bacterial small subunit ribosomal RNA", at positions 524 to 761 of the family's 1533-position model. The record is from RNAcentral.